Bos taurus (domestic cattle) is the source of this 1610-nucleotide long non-coding RNA. NCBI's taxonomy places the organism in Eukaryota, Metazoa, Chordata, Mammalia, Artiodactyla, Bovidae. The record is from Ensembl.
GUUAUGUAGUUUUCUCACCACCACAACACUGCUGCUGCUGCUGCUAAGUUGCUUCAGUCAUGUCCGACUCUAUGCAACCCCAUAGAUGGCAGCCCACCAGGCUCCUCUGUCCCUGGGAUUCUCCAUGCAAGAACACUGGAGUGGGUUGCCAUUUCCUUCUCCAAUGCAUGAAAGUGAAAGUGAAGUCUCUCAGUCAUGUCCGACUCUUAGCGACCCCAUGGAUUGCAGCCUACCAGGCUCCUCUGUCCAUGGGAUUUUCCAGGCAAAAGUACUGGAGUGGGGUGCCAUUGCCUUCUCCGACCACAAUACUAGAAGUAGCUAACUCAUUGAUGGAGUGCAAACGGGAAGCUUGCUGUAAAUCCCCAACCUGGAGCCCAUCUAUCAAGCCCAGAGACCAAAGGAGAUUCAACUCUGCCCUUCACAGCUUUGCCGCUUAGCUUUGUACCAUCUCAUAGUGUACAAAUUCAAAGUUUAGUACAUUUCCUCAGAGAGCGCCCAGCCGUCCUUGUGAGGUUCCUCUGGUCUUCAGUUGUAUCACCCACCCCCCUCCAAUUUCUCAUUGCUCUCCAGCAGCAGACUUAGGGACAAGUCUUGACUCGCAGGCUCUAGUAGCUUCCAGAAUUAAUAAGUGACCCUGGGUUAAAAGGACCUAUGGAGUGUCAGCAUAUUCCUCUCCCUAUAGCUUUCAUCUGUGGCUUUUUUGUUUUCCGUUCAUUUCCACUUGGCCAUUUUAGUUUCUUCAGGACCUCCAGACCAUAGGAUAUUUCAUUCUGUCUUUUAGAACAUGUCACCUGACUUAUUUAUCACUCCCACUGCCUCAGAUUCAGAAAAGCUUUCGGUAGCCGUGAGUUCGAGACUCCUAAAACCCCUGCUUUGAGCAGGGCAGCCCACAGGGCCACUGAGUUUCGUUGCUCCCUCCCUGGCAUGGAGCUCAGCCCAGGAUCAGAAAAUGACCCAGGAACACAUGGGGCAGCCAGUUAUCCACUCACCUCCAGACAGUUCUCCCCUUUCUGCAAUUUUAGUCCAUUGAUCCUUGUAGCUUCCUCAACUCUCUGAUGCCAUUAAAAGUAUAACUUUUGUUAUUUAUCCAGUUUUUUCUGCUCUUUGUCAGUAAGUGAGUUGGUGUACCAUGACCUACUCUAGCCCACUCAGAAGCAGAACUCAGCUUUACAAGUCUGCUUGUGCCCUGGGCUAAACCACUGCUCACUCUGCCCCGCUCCCCCCUCCCAGUGAAAACCCUCAAUAUGCCCUUCCUCUGCAGUCUGUGUCCUCCCUGGACUCUUCAGUUCUAUAAAGACUUCAGAAGAAGGGCAUGGAUGGACCUUAUCAUACUAAGUCUGUAUUAUGCUGCUCAGCUGAUGAUAGUACAUUUGGGUUGUAAGAAACAAUUUCUUAAAGCAAUUAUGACUUCUGAAUUUAAGAACCUUUGAAUCUUUUAAAAACUGGUACUAAUCUGGUUUACUUGGCCUCCAGCAACUUGGAGAUUUCCAAAGAAUAUAAAACUACAAUUUUUUCACUAAGAUAGUAAUACUGUGAAUCAUAAAUUGAACCUCCUAAUAAAGCUUCUUGAAGUGAUAAAGAAUUAUUUUUAGAAGCUGAUUUCACCAUUA